UACGUAGGGUGCAAGCGUUAAUCGGAAUUACUGGGCGUAAAGCGUGCGCAGGCGGUUUUGUAAGUCUGACGUGAAAUCCCCGGGCUCAACCUGGGAAUUGCGUUGGAGACUGCAGGGCUAGAAUCUGGCAGAGGGGGGUAGAAUUCCACGUGUAGCAGUGAAAUGCGUAGAGAUGUGGAGGAACACCGAUGGCGAAGGCAGCCCCCUGGGUCAAGAUUGACGCUCAUGCACGAAAGCGUGGGGAGCAAACAGG
Molecule: ribosomal RNA, 253 nt
Filed under: uncultured bacterium
Lineage: Bacteria
Description: partial 16S ribosomal RNA
Rfam family: Bacterial small subunit ribosomal RNA
Source: RNAcentral